CCUUUGUCAACACCACACACACACACACACGCACAACGAGAUAUGGAUUUAGAGUCGUUCUCCUUGAGGAGGCGAAUCCAGCCGUGCAUCUGCUUGGCCGCUCGCCAGAAGCUUGCGACACCAAAACGGGGCCCAAAUUCCUCCUUGGCUGUUGCCGAGGAUCCCAGCCGCACGCUAACGGGAUUAUUGGUUAGCCGCUGCAUGUCGCGGCGACACAGCUUGCCUUUGCCACUGCUUUGACCUAAUGGGCUCACACGGGGAGAGGCAGCGCAGCUCCGACUGGGCCUUCCGUCGGCAACCGUGACAUUGACUGCAGCGGUGAGGGGCGGGUGGGAGGGGGGCCGUCACCGUGGGUGGUACUGUAGGGAGCACGGGCAGGCGGAGGCCACACACACACACACACACACACACACACAGAAGUAUAAGUACAGACACAAACUGUCUUUGUCCUUAGCGGAGAGUGGGGAUUGCCCCUCCUCUCCGGGCCCAUGUGCUCCCCUGGGGAGGCCAAACCUGCUGUGCCAUCAGAAGCCUUUUUUUCCUCCCCCUCCCUCUCUCCCUCGGCCAUAAUCUCAUCACAUCUCACGCACUUGCCUCCCCUCCCCUCCCCUCCCCUCGCCUCGCCUCCCGUCCUGGUAGCAUUACCACACCACCAGGAUAAGGAAUAUUAAAAGUACUCCGUGGGUUUCCGGCCUGUGACCUCCUUCGAAAAAAUCCCACUUUCCUUUUUGCCCCCCCCCUCCCGCCCCCCCGGUCCUGUCCUGUCGAUAUCCUGCGGCGGUAUGAAGCAGGGGGCCGAAGUGAGGUCAUUUCAAUGGCAACAUUGCUGCCUGUGUUCUUUAUCUGGCGGAGAAUUUUCUGCGAGAUGGCAUCUUGUAAUUUGCUUUUCUCCCCGUGCAUCUGUAGAGAAUUAAACCCCCCCCCCCCACAAAGAAACACCAGUUUCAGAUCAAACAAAGACGUUUCAUUUCCAGUUUACUGUCUAUGAAAUUCAAAUGGCAUCCCUGAGUUGUUGUUUUUUAAUCCCAGCUCUGAAUCAAAUGGGAAACGGAAAUAAAAAUGCAAAUUAGUUUGUUCUUUAUUAGGAUUUCUCAGCAAGUGUGCACCGUCUGACUGUAUCUCAAUAUGAAAUCCAUGAAGAUGGCUACUGCCUCCACCAAACCUGAGGGGAUUUCAGCAUCACAUUUUGACAGCAAUUAGUGGCACAAUCUGUUUCAUGCUUGCUCAUAUAACUAGGCUCUGGACAGAUCUCACGCUGAAGUGUUACAAUGUUCUUUACAUCUUAAUAUUAUUCAACUGUGGAAGAGGAGACAUACACAGGACUCUGCCUACAAAAAUCAACUGUGCUGUUUAAGCCGACGUUUCAAUCAAAGUGAAGAUAAAGAAAAAGAAAAAUAGGUAACGAUGAAUUAGGUUUCAAACGCGACAAAAAGAAAACAUAUCUGUAACAUUCACUAAAGCCUGUGAUGCCUGUUUUAAAUAAUAGACUCUUGUACAAAAGAACCCACAUAUAAAAUAGCAGAAAAAUACUUACAGAUACAAACACAAAAAUGAAGAUAAAGAAAUGCCUUCAAAUAUUCUGGACAGGAGGAGUUAAAAAAAAAAAAGUUAAAAGAAAUGCUUCUUUAAGAAAAUGUGUAUGUUUUUUAUUCGAUUUUCUAGUAGUUGCAAACAAAACUUGGUGUUUUUUCUCUUUGUGUGUUGCGUGUUGUCUUAAUAUUUGAAUGUAUUUUACUGCAGUGCGAAUUUGCCAAAGAUAUCAUAUCAAUUGAUUUCUCUACUUUUAUUUUUAUUUUUUUAUUUUCUUUGGUGGGGGGAUUUUUGUUUCCUGAAUUGUGAUCAAUUUUCUUCAGAAAACUGGAAAUAAAUGUUAAAUUAGAUAUUAUGCUUAUUUUUCAUAUUCCUAACGUGGAUAUUAUCGUUAUUUCAUUCCCUGGGUUUGAGUUUACUGUGAAAUGUUAAAUUGCAGUUUGCUUGAUGCAUUACUUCAUAACGUGUACAUGUUCAUCCGUCCACCUGAGUGACUGUUGUAGGUGAAUUAUUACAUUUACGUACCUGUAAUGUGAAGCUAAGAAGUAAUUAUUUGUAAAUAUUUGCCAUAAUUUUAUUGGUCCUUCAGAAUAAAAAAUAAUUUUUUGGAAGUGACAGCUCCCGCGUCAGUGCUUGGCUACGAAUGUGCACGUGUUUUCUGUGCAUGCAGACGGAACGCGCACAUUCCUCAACGCGGCGGCAGCUAAAACCCCUCCUUCCCCUCAGCACCGUCCCACUGCUGCAGUCUUGGCUGCUGGCCGAGUCCAGGAGGGGGCAGAGGUGUGUGUGUGUGUGUGUGUGUGUGUAGGGGAGACGAGGAGGGGGAGGUGGGUGAUAAUAGGACACAAGCCGCGACAUGGCGACAACACGCCACACACACAGAAAACAGCACAAACCCAGCUUGAGACACCGGCCGGGCUGUCUGCAGUUUGGGUUCCUGCCCAGGACUGAAAAGCAGCAUGGUGAG
Molecule: long non-coding RNA, 2497 nt
Organism: Gasterosteus aculeatus aculeatus (three-spined stickleback)
Lineage: Eukaryota; Metazoa; Chordata; Actinopteri; Perciformes; Gasterosteidae
Source: Ensembl